This is a long non-coding RNA of Schistocerca gregaria, 219 nucleotides long. RefSeq lists it as uncharacterized. The transcript has 3 exons. The record is from RefSeq and is a predicted model, not a curated record. NCBI's taxonomy places the organism in Eukaryota, Metazoa, Arthropoda, Insecta, Orthoptera, Acrididae.
AGAAAAUUUUCAGCAAAUUUUACUUAUAGCGGCCUCCGGCGUGUAGCUAUGAGGUUACAGUUUCCUCAACACUGCUUUUCUGUGAUCUCGUAAGUAGCUGCAGUCAGGAGUUUACGUGCGAAGAUCUACCGCUGUAAAGAGAUAACAGGAGAAAGGAAUGAUGGGCAUGCACGGCCAAAAAAUGUAUGGCAGAAUAGAAUAGAAGAAACAUCUCCUUAG